This 1459-nucleotide ribosomal RNA is filed under the name uncultured organism. RNAcentral's name for it is "SSU rRNA". It matches the Rfam family "Bacterial small subunit ribosomal RNA". The record is from RNAcentral.
UGACGAACGCUGGCGGCGUGCCUAAUACAUGCAAGUAGAACGCUGAAGAGAGGAGCUUGCUCUUCUUGGAUGAGUUGCGAACGGGUGAGUAACGCGUAGGUAACCUGCCUUGUAGCGGGGGAUAACUAUUGGAAACGAUAGCUAAUACCGCAUAACAAUGGAUGACCCAUGUCAUUUAUUUGAAAGGGGCAAAUGCUCCACUACAAGAUGGACCUGCGUUGUAUUAGCUAGUAGGUGAGGUAACGGCUCACCUAGGCGACGAUACAUAGCCGACCUGAAAGGGUGAUCGGCCACACUGGGACUGAGACACGGCCCAGACUCCUACGGGAGGCAGCAGUAGGGAAUCUUCGGCAAUGGGGGCAACCCUGACCGAGCAACGCCGCGUGAGUGAAGAAGGUUUUCGGAUCGUAAAGCUCUGUUGUAAGUCAAGAACGAGUGUGAGAGUGGAAAGUUCACACUGUGACGGUAGCUUACCAGAAAGGGACGGCUAACUACGUGCCAGCAGCCGCGGUAAUACGUAGGUCCCGAGCGUUGUCCGGAUUUAUUGGGCGUAAAGCGAGCGCAGGCGGUUUGAUAAGUCUGAAGUUAAAGGCUGUGGCUCAACCAUAGUUCGCUUUGGAAACUGUCAAACUUGAGUGCAGAAGGGGAGAGUGGAAUUCCAUGUGUAGCGGUGAAAUGCGUAGAUAUAUGGAGGAACACCGGUGGCGAAAGCGGCUCUCUGGUCUGUAACUGACGCUGAGGCUCGAAAGCGUGGGGAGCGAACAGGAUUAGAUACCCUGGUAGUCCACGCCGUAAACGAUGAGUGCUAGGUGUUGGAUCCUUUCCGGGAUUCAGUGCCGCAGCUAACGCAUUAAGCACUCCGCCUGGGGAGUACGACCGCAAGGUUGAAACUCAAAGGAAUUGACGGGGGCCCGCACAAGCGGUGGAGCAUGUGGUUUAAUUCGAAGCAACGCGAAGAACCUUACCAGGUCUUGACAUCCCGAUGCUAUUUCUAGAGAUAGAAAGUUACUUCGGUACAUCGGUGACAGGUGGUGCAUGGUUGUCGUCAGCUCGUGUCGUGAGAUGUUGGGUUAAGUCCCGCAACGAGCGCAACCCCUAUUGUUAGUUGCCAUCAUUCAGUUGGGCACUCUAGCGAGACUGCCGGUAAUAAACCGGAGGAAGGUGGGGAUGACGUCAAAUCAUCAUGCCCCUUAUGACCUGGGCUACACACGUGCUACAAUGGUUGGUACAACGAGUUGCGAGUCGGUGACGGCAAGCUAAUCUCUUAAAGCCAAUCUCAGUUCGGAUUGUAGGCUGCAACUCGCCUACAUGAAGUCGGAAUCGCUAGUAAUCGCGGAUCAGCACGCCGCGGUGAAUACGUUCCCGGGCCUUGUACACACCGCCCGUCACACCACGAGAGUUUGUAACACCCGAAGUCGGUGAGGUAACCUUUUGGAGCCAGCCGCCUAAGGUGGGAUAG